ACUUUCUUAAUAUAAUUAAUAUGUAUGACUUCCAAUCAUUUUAUCUUGGUGAAACUCCGAGAGAAAGUA
This 69-nucleotide transfer RNA is filed under the name Hylarana latouchii (broad-folded frog). Its description in RNAcentral is "tRNA-Gly". It matches the Rfam family "tRNA". Rfam says of the family: Transfer RNA (tRNA) molecules are approximately 80 nucleotides in length. Lineage: Eukaryota; Metazoa; Chordata; Amphibia; Anura; Ranidae. The record is from RNAcentral.